CAGCCGCCGCGGUAAUACGAAGGGUGCAAGCGUUACUCGGAAUUACUGGGCGUAAAGCGUGCGUAGGUGGUGGUUUAAGUCCGUUGUGAAAGCCCUGGGCUCAACCUGGGAAUUGCAGUGGAUACUGGGUCACUAGAGUGUGGUAGAGGAUAGUGGAAUUUCCGGUGUAGCAGUGAAAUGCGUAGAGAUCUGGAGGAAUACCGAUGGCGAAGGCAGCCAUCUGGCCUAAUACUGACGCUGAGGUACGAAAGCAUGGGGAGCAAACAGGAUUAGAUACCCGAGUAGUCCCUGUCUCUUAUAC
This 301-nucleotide ribosomal RNA is filed under the name uncultured bacterium. RNAcentral describes it as "partial 16S ribosomal RNA". It matches the Rfam family "Bacterial small subunit ribosomal RNA", at positions 509 to 807 of the family's 1533-position model. The record is from RNAcentral.